GAAUACUUCUGACAUUCCAUCUAACUGAAGCCUGUGUGACCCUGAGUGUAUUCAUCACAAAGGGCUUUCCAGACAAUUAGCUAAUAGCUCCUGUGGGGCAGACCCAGAACCCAAAGUGUGUGAUUAUCAUUAAGCUCUUCAGACCCGAACAUGCUGUGUAGAGACCCCCACUCCAUGUUUGUCACAAGAAAAUCUGACAUCUUUAACAGCUCAAGUGAACAGAAAUGCCAAAUUGACAUGCCAGCUGUGAAAACCUUCAGGGUUGAAUUAUUAUUAUUACUGCAGCCGCUCUUUUUGUAACGUGGCUUUGAAUCAUCCUCCAGCUUUAGCAGAGGGUCCCGUGCCAGCAGUUAAUUACAAAGUUCAGCCCCAAGACUACUCCCAUUACUGAGAUCACCAGCAGGUGAACGCAGUCUUGAAAAUCACUUUCAAAUUUGCCAACUGGCCUGACGUGAGCAUCCUUCUCUAGAGGAAGGUGAAAUUGGCAGGUGGGCUUGAAGAUGAACGUCUGCUAUUUAUAUCAUCAUGCUACCUGUUUCAGUGCUUAACAACUGAUAAAGAGGUUUUCUUCCUAGUCUCACAAAGAAAAACAACAAGAUACUCUUAGAUAUAGGCUUGUCAACCUUCCAAGAGCAGGUCAGAAUGUGUGCAGCAGCACAUGGGAAUGGAGGCACAUCACAGCUCACACCUGCUCAGCACCAGAUGAAAGACAUUGGCCCCAUGCUAUCUGGACAACGAGGGGCUCACAACUCAGCAUCCUUUGGCCAUCUUCGGUACAACAGUUGACGUCAGUAAAGAGGCCCUGAAGGAACAGAAAGCUGGAAAAGGUUCAACCCUUUAUUGUCGAGCACUGCACAUUCCAGGAGAGGAGGUGCCAAGGACCAGGUGACACAGGUAGAAGCCGUACCUUGUCCAGCGUCCCUCUACCACCUGGAUCUGCUAUCCAGGACGGAGCUUGCUAGUCAAAGAACCCAUGGAAAGAGAAGAUGUGGAAUAAAGACAGGAUGUUUGCACCACAGUCGAUUCCUCUGCUUCACUUCAGCUUCUCCAAGUGAGCCUAGAAAAGAAAGAGAAAAAAUAGAGAAGUCUAAAAAGUGUUGU
Molecule: long non-coding RNA, 1101 nt
Filed under: Capra hircus (goat)
Lineage: Eukaryota; Metazoa; Chordata; Mammalia; Artiodactyla; Bovidae
Description: lncRNA (ENSCHIG00000001408.1)
Source: RNAcentral